UUGGAUUUACACCCUGUCUCUCUCCCUGUGAAGGAACAACCCCCCCCCAAAAAAAGAAAGUGUUGCCGGAAAUGUAGUAGGCAAAAAGUUUUCAAAUAUGACUCCAUAACAGGACGAAGGAUAAAUGAGGGGCAAGAGGAAGUAAGGGUGAAAUGGUUACCUUGCUCUGCAUGGUAAGUACUGCUUUAUAUUGGUUUAUAUUGCCUUCAUACAUGUACUCUUUUUCCACUUUUUACCAUCUCAUAGGUAGUGGAUAAAGGUUGAAAUUUAUAUUGUAGCACACACAACUUUAAAUGUACAGGUGGGUCUCAAAGUUUUGCAACCAAAAAGCAGCGUUGAGAGAAUUGUCAUGUCCACUAGGUUUUAGGUCCAGCGUCAAUGCAGCCUUCUACCUGGAGAUUUUAGAGCAUGGUUCCAUCUGCUGACGAGCUUUACGCACAUGCUGAUAUCCUUUUCCAGCAGGACUCUGCCCCUGCCACAGUGCGAAAACUGCUAGUAACUGGGUUGCUUAGCAUGGUAUUGCUGUGCUUAACUCGUCUCACCUGAACCCCAUAGAGAGGACAAAGAUAGAAACCAAACCCAACAUUAGAGACAACUUCAAGGUCACUAUCAAAGCAACAUGGGCUUUUAUAACACCUCAGCAAUGCCAUACACUGAUGGCCUCCACACCACAC
Long non-coding RNA from Micropterus salmoides (largemouth bass), 674 nucleotides. RefSeq lists it as uncharacterized. The transcript has 3 exons. Lineage: Eukaryota; Metazoa; Chordata; Actinopteri; Centrarchiformes; Centrarchidae. The record is from RefSeq and is a predicted model, not a curated record.